RNAcentral lists this transfer RNA (65 nucleotides) under Dipodomys ordii (Ord's kangaroo rat). It matches the Rfam family "tRNA". Rfam says of the family: Transfer RNA (tRNA) molecules are approximately 80 nucleotides in length. Their secondary structure includes four short double-helical elements and three loops (D, anti-codon, and T loops). The record is from Rfam by way of RNAcentral. Lineage: Eukaryota; Metazoa; Chordata; Mammalia; Rodentia; Heteromyidae.
GGGGGCUCAGUGGUAGAGUGCUUGCCUUGCAUGCAUGAGGCCCUGGGUUCGAUUCCUUAGCACCA